AAUUUUAAUAUUAUUAUAUUUUGAAAAUUUUAAUAAAAUUACUUAAUUUUGAAUUUAUGAUAAAUUAUUAGUACUAAAGGGGAAAUAAAAUUAUUAUUUAAAAGUAAAAUUAAUUUUUUGUAUUAUGUGUAUCUUAGUUUAUUAAAUUUUUUAAAGUAAUUUAAUUUCUCGAAUUAAAAAGAACUAAUUCUUUAAUAUUAUAUAUGUUUAAAAAUAUUAAUUAAUAAAGAAUUAGUAGUAAAAUGCUUAACGAUUUUUAAUAUAUCUAGUUUAAAAAGAAAUGAAUUAAAUUCAAGUUUUAGAAAAAAAUAAAAUUUAAUUAAUUAAAUUUUAUUUUCUAAAAGUAAAUAAUUUUAGGGAUAAGCUUAAAAUUAAAAAUUUAAAAAUUUCUUAAAAAUUGUUAGAAUAUAGGAAUAAAAUUAUUUUUUUUUAAUAAUUUAAUAUUUGACUAAUGGAAAUAAGUAUUUUUUUUUAUUAAAUUUGUAUUUUUAUAUUAAUUUAAACUUUUUAAAUUAAUUAAAACUGAUAAAAUUAGUAAAAUAUUUUAUAAACUUAUAAGUUUUAAAAAUUAAUUUUCAAGAAUUCGGCAAUAUAUUUUCUGCUUGUUUAUUAAAAACAUGGUUUUUUGAAUAUUUUUUAAGAUUGAACCUGCUCAAUGAAAUUUAAAUAGCUGCAGUAUUUUGACUGUACAAAGGUAGCAAAAUAAAUAGUUUAUUAAUUGUAAACUAGAAUGAAGGGUUUGACAAGAAAAUAACUUUCUAAAGAUUAAUAAUUGAAAUUAACUGAAAAGUAAAAAGGCUUUUAUAUGUAUAAGGGACAAGAAGACCCUAUAGAGUUUUAUAAUUUUUAUUAAAAAUUAAUGAUAAAUUUUUAUCAAAUUAUUUAAUUGGGGUGAUUCAAAAAUUUAAAAAACUUUUUGUUAAUAAAACAUAUAUUAUAUUUGAAAUUUGGAUAAAUUUUUAUAAUUUUAGAAAAAUUACCUUAGGGAUAACAGCAUAAUUUUCAAAGAAGUUCAUAUUUAAAUGAAAGUUUAUGACCUCGAUGUUGGAUUAAAAAAUAUUUUUAAUGUAUAAGUUAAAAAUUUAGGUCUGUUCGACCUUUUGAAUUUUACAUGAUCUGAGUUUAGACCGGCGUAAGCCAGGUUAGUUUCUAUCUUUAUAAAAUUCAUAAUUUUUAGUACGAAAGGACCAAAAUUA
This 1196-nucleotide ribosomal RNA is filed under the name Cerophytidae sp. BMNH 900085. RNAcentral's name for it is "16S ribosomal RNA". The stretch from base 987 to 1144 matches the Rfam family "Archaeal large subunit ribosomal RNA", at positions 2542 to 2701 of the family's 2987-position model. Lineage: Eukaryota; Metazoa; Arthropoda; Insecta; Coleoptera; Cerophytidae. The record is from RNAcentral.